UAGGGAAUCUUCCACAAUGGACGAAAGUCUGAUGGAGCAACGCCGCGUGAGUGAAGAAGGGUUUCGGCUACGUAAAACUCUGUUGUUAAAGAAGAACACGUAUGAGAGUAACUGUUCAUACGUUGACGGUAUUUAACCAGAAAGUCACGGCUAACUACGUGCCAG
This 165-nucleotide ribosomal RNA is filed under the name uncultured bacterium. Its description in RNAcentral is "partial 16S ribosomal RNA". It matches the Rfam family "Bacterial small subunit ribosomal RNA", at positions 355 to 511 of the family's 1533-position model. The record is from RNAcentral.